RNAcentral lists this ribosomal RNA (468 nucleotides) under uncultured bacterium. RNAcentral describes it as "partial 16S ribosomal RNA". It matches the Rfam family "Bacterial small subunit ribosomal RNA", at positions 28 to 507 of the family's 1533-position model. The record is from RNAcentral.
GACGAACGCUGGCGGCGUGCUUAACACAUGCAAGUCGAACGGUGAAGCUCCAGCUUGCUGGAGUGGAUCAGUGGCGAACGGGUGAGUAACACGUGAGCAACCUGCCCCUGACUCUGGAAUAAGCGCUGGAAACGGCGUCUAAUACUGGAUACGAGAAGGGUCCGCAUGGGCACUUUCUGGAAAGUUUUUCGGUUGGGGAUGGGCUCGCGGCCUAUCAGCUUGUUGGUGAUGUAAUGGCUCACCAAGGCGACGACGGGUAGCCGGCCUGAGAGGGCGACCGGACACACUGGGACUUAGACACGGCCAAGACUCCUACGGGAGGCAGCAGUGGGGAAUAUUGCACAAUGGGCGAAAGCCUGAUGCAGCGACGCCGCGUGAGGGAUGACGGCCUUCGGGUUGUAAACCUCUUUCAGCAGGGAAGAAGCGAAAGUGACGGUACCUGCAGAAGAAGAACAGGCUAACCACGUG